This 497-nucleotide ribosomal RNA is filed under the name uncultured bacterium. Its description in RNAcentral is "partial 16S ribosomal RNA". It matches the Rfam family "Bacterial small subunit ribosomal RNA", at positions 28 to 507 of the family's 1533-position model. The record is from RNAcentral.
GAUGAACGCUGGCGGCGUGCCUAAUACAUGCAAGUCGAGCGAACGGACGAGAAGCUUGCUUUUCUGAUGUUAGCGGCGGACGGGUGAGUAACACGUGGAUAACCUACCUAUAAGACUGGGAUAACUUCGGGAAACCGGAGCUAAUACCGGAUAAUAUUUUGAACCGCAUGGUUCAAAAGUGAAAGACGGUCUUGCUGUCACUUAUAGAUGGAUCCGCGCUGCAUUAGCUAGUUGGUAAGGUAACGGCUUACCAAGGCAACGAUGCAUAGCCGACCUGAGAGGGUGAUCUGCGCCACUGUAACUGGGACACGGUCCAGACUCCUACGGGAGGCAGCAGUAGGGAAUCUUCCGCAAUGGGCGAAAGCCUGACGGAGCAACGCCGCGUGAGUGAUGAAGGUCGUCGGAUCGUAAAACUCUGUUAUUAGGGAAGAACAUAUGUGUAAGUAACUGUGCACAUCUUGACGGUACCUAAUCAGAAAGCCACGGCUAACUUCGUG